CGGAUGAUCGAUUGGUGACUGAGUGGCGGACGGGUGAGUAACGCGUGGGUAACCUGCCCUGUACAGGGGGAUAACAGCUGGAAACGGCUGCUAAUACCGCAUAAGCGCACGAGGAGACAUCUCCUUGUGUGAAAAACUCCGGUGGUACAGGAUGGGCCCGCGUCUGAUUAGCUGGUUGGCAGGGUAACGGCCUACCAAGGCAACGAUCAGUAGCCGGUCUGAGAGGAUGAACGGCCACAUUGGAACUGAGACACGGUCCAAACUCCUACGGGAGGCAGCAGUGGGGAAUAUUGCACAAUGGGGGAAACCCUGAUGCAGCAACGCCGCGUGAGUGAAGAAGUAUUUCGGUAUGUAAAGCUCUAUCAGCAGGGAAGAUAAUGACGGUACCUGACUAAGAAGCUCCGGCUAAAUACGUGCCAGCAGCCGCGGUAAUACGUAUGGAGCAAGCGUUAUCCGGAUUUACUGGGUGUAAAGGGUGCGUAGGUGGCAGUGCAAGUCAGAUGUGAAAGGCCGGGGCUCAACCCCGGAGCUGCAUUUGAAACUGCAUAGCUAGAGUACAGGAGAGGCAGGCGGAAUUCCUAGUGUAGCGGUGAAAUGCGUAGAUAUUAGGAGGAACACCAGUGGCGAAGGCGGCCUGCUGGACUGUUACUGACACUGAGGCG
Molecule: ribosomal RNA, 662 nt
Filed under: uncultured bacterium
Lineage: Bacteria
Description: bacterial SSU rRNA
Rfam family: Bacterial small subunit ribosomal RNA
Source: RNAcentral